This 3071-nucleotide long non-coding RNA is filed under the name Equus caballus (horse). RNAcentral describes it as "lncRNA (ENSECAG00000053406.1)". Lineage: Eukaryota; Metazoa; Chordata; Mammalia; Perissodactyla; Equidae. The record is from RNAcentral.
GGCAACCAAGAGUGAAAGUGAACCUAGCUUGAAUUGAUUAGUCUGUCAUGACUUCCUGAUGAUAGAUGGAAGUCUGCCAAGUAUACCAUGCAGCAAAAGUAAUAACGGCCAUGUAUACUACUAAGUCUAGAGGAUAUUUCUGGGUCUCUUCAUGAGGUUGCAGUCAAGAUGUCAGGGGAGCUGCAGUCAUCUGAAGGCUUGACCACAGGUGGAGGAUCCACUUCCAAGAUGGCUCACUCACAUGGCUGCUGGCAGGAAAUAUCAUUUCCUCAUUGGCUUUCGGCUGGAGGCCCACUUCCUAGCUUCUCCAUGGAUGACUAUCCUUAUGACUUGGCAUCUAUCUUCCUCCAGAGCAGAUGGGAGUCACUAAUUCCAGUCCACACUCAGUCAGAAGAGAAUUUGGAUCCACCUCUUGAAGGGAGAAGCAUCAAAGAAUUUGUGGGCAUUUUAAAACCACCACAAACCUUUUGUUAAUUUUUUAAAUAUCUACAGGAUAUGAUAUUGAUUGUUCUUUCUUACUUUUUUUUAAAAAAGUCUUACUGGGUUUAUAAAUUUAAUUAAUCUUUUCAAAGAAUCCACUUUUGGUUUAUUGAUGCUCUCCCAUGUAUGUUUGUUUUCUAUUUCAUCAAAUUCUCUCAUCUUCAUUAUUUCCUUCUUUCUUCCUGUUUUGCAUUUAUGUUGCUGUUCUUUUACUAACUGUUUGAGAUAGAUCCUUAAUUGAUUUUUAGUCUUAAUUCCUUCUAAUAUAAUAUUUUAAGAUUAUGUAUUUCCUCCUAAGCAUGGUUUUAAAGGUAUCCUAUAAGAUUUGAUAUAUUCAUUAUUAUAUAGUUCAAGCUAUUUCAAUUUUCUUUCUGAUUUAUUUUUUGGUCCACAGUAUAUUUAGAAGUGUGUUGCUUAAUUUUUAAGAAUUUAGUGAUAUUCUAGUUAUGAUUCAUUGUUUGUUUUCAGCUUAAUUACCCUGUGGUCAGAGAACAUGCUUUGUAUGAUUUCAAUAAUCAUACAGAUAAUUUGUGAUAUGGCCCAGCCUUUCCAAUUUUGGUUAAUGUUCCAUUUACAUUUGGGAAAAAUGAGUGCUCUUCAGGUGCUGUGUGUAGUGCUUGUUAAAAUGUCAAUUAGGGCAAGUUAGUCAGUCAUGUUACUCACAUCCUAUGCCUCAUUACUGAUUUUGUAUAUGCUUAUUUUAUUAGUUAUUAAGAAAGGUUAAAAUCUUUCUCUGUGAUUGUGUAUUUAUUAUAUCUAUAAUUUUUGUUGUUCUCUAUGUUUUUUACUUUAUAUAACAACUAGGUGGAAAACUUUUGGAUUGUUACAUCUUUUUGAUGCCUGGGACCCUUUGUCAUUAUAAAGUGUCUAUAUUUUUAACAUUUCUUUUAGUAUGGCCUAGAAAUUAUCUGAAAAAUUCCCUCAGUUUUGGUAUUUGGAAAGUUUAUUUAUGUUUCAUUUUUAAAAGAUAUUUUCACUAGACAUAGACUUCUAGGUUAGCAGUUUCAUUCCAUUAGCUUCUGCCUUACCUCAUUUCUUUUGAGAAAGUAGUUAAAAAUCUUACCAUUGUUCCUUUGAAAGCUAUGUGUUUUUUGCCUCUUUUUUAAGAUCUUUCUCAUUGUCUUUGGUCUAUAAGAUUGCUAGAUAUUUUUUUAUAUUUUUUUCUGCUUGUGAUUUAUAGCGAAACUGGCAAAAUUCUACAUUUGUAUAUGUUGAAAUAUUUCUUCUGUCCCAUUCUCUCUCUCUCUUCUUCUGGACUGUAAAUACAUUUGUUACUCUUUUCACUGUGUCCUUUACAUCCUUUAUGUUCUCUUCUAUUUUUGUUUAUCUUUCUCUCUGUGAUUCUAAUAUGUAGAAUCAUAUCUACUGAGUUUUUCCCCAGUUCAAUACUCAUCCUUUAGAUUGUUUCUAAUAUGCUCUGGGACCAAACCGUUUAUUGAAUUCUUAAUUUCCGUUUUUGUUUUCCCAGUUUUAUAUUUACACUGAAUUCUGUAUUGACUUCAGCUUUAUGUUGAACUUCUCCAUCUUUUCACAUAUUUUUUAGAACACAUUUUUAAAAAAUUUUUUACUUUAUUAUUUUUUUGGUGAGGAAGAUUGGCCCUGAGCUAACAUCUGUUGCCAGUCUUCCUCUUUUUGUUUGAGGAAGAUUGUCACUGAGCUAACAUCUGUGCCAAUCUUCUUCCAUUUUGCAUGUGGGACACUGUCACAGCCUACCUUGAUGAGCAGUGUGUAGGUCUGUGCCCAGGAUCUGAACCUGUGAACCCCAGGCCGCUGAAGUGGAGCACAUGUACUUAACCAAUACACCAUUGGGCUGGCCCAAGAACACAUUUAACAUAUGUAUCUUAAGGUAUGCAUUGAUAACUCCAAUAAUUAGAUCUCCUCUACAUUACUUUCUACUGUCUUUUUUCUCCCUUGCCUUUUGCUCAUUUUAUCCUUUUCGUGGAAUGCCUACUAUUUUUUUAUUUAAUGUAAUAGUUUUUAUAUUAAAAUUUGUUGCCAUAAUUUAAGUGCAUGGCAAAUGGUUUUUUUCCUUCAGAGAGGAUUUACUUUUACUUCUAAUGGACAAUUAAGGGAGGGCGAGAUCACCUUUAUCAAGUCUUGAUUUGAAAUUAUUUUAAAAAUGUGUUUCAUUCCUUUAGAGGGCUAAACUAGUUCUGAUUUCUCUUUAUUACUGGAGAGUGGUAUUUCAGGGGCCCCAACUCUAUGACUGGCAUGCUAGGGCUGUUCUUCCUUGACAGGACGUGAAUACCAUUUUUAUCUCUCUUAUUCCAUGAGAUUUCUGAAAGCUCAGUUUAUCUGUGAAGCCUACCAGCCACUGAUUUCUGUUUGAUUUACUAGUCUCUCUGUUACUGUUUAAAAGUUGGCAAACACCUCGACGGAAAAAGUGGAACUGAAUUUUGGUUAACUCCUUGUUCUUCAUUUUACCCCAGAAUCUUAGACCCUCAAAUCUUUAUUGUCAUAGUAAUUCUCCAAUCUAUUCAAAUAGAUUAUUUUUUAAAUCUUACUUUCCUAGUUGCUGUGGGCAGGAAUGUGUGUCUAUAAUGAAGUAGUCUGCUCUAUUUGGAAGACAAAGUCCCAAAAAUGUUUUGAAA